UGGCGGGACGGGGUGGAGUAAUGUCUGGGAAACUGCCUGAUGGGAGGGGGUAACUACUGGAAACGGUAGCUAAUACCGCAUAACGUCGCAAGACCAAAGAGGGGGACCGUUCGGGCCUCUUGCCAUCGGAUGUGCCCAGAUGGGAUUAGCUAGUAGGUGGGGUAACGGCUCACCUAGGCGACGAUCCCUAGCUGGUCUGAGAGGAUGACCAGCCACACUGGAACUGAGACACGGUCCAG
This 239-nucleotide ribosomal RNA is filed under the name uncultured bacterium. Its description in RNAcentral is "partial 16S ribosomal RNA". It matches the Rfam family "Bacterial small subunit ribosomal RNA", at positions 104 to 334 of the family's 1533-position model. The record is from RNAcentral.